Molecule: ribosomal RNA, 1248 nt
Filed under: metagenome
Description: SSU rRNA
Rfam family: Eukaryotic small subunit ribosomal RNA
Source: RNAcentral
GAUCUCUUUGAGGCCCGUUAUCGGAAUGAGAACAAUUCAAAUCCUUUAACGAGGAUCUAGCGGAGGGCAAGUCUGGUGCCAGCAGCCGCGGUAAUUCCAGCUCCGCAGGUGUAUAUCUAUGCUGCUGCGGUUAAAAAGCUCGUAGUUGGAUCUGCGUGCUCGGAACUGGUUGGCUCACUGAGUUCAAACUGGUCUCCGGCGCUUUAUUGGCUGGUUUUCCCUUGAUGCUCUUAACCGGGUGUCUUGGGUGGCUAGCACGUUUACUUUGAAAAAAUUAGAGUGCUCAAUACAGGCGUAAAGCCUUGAAUAGUGGUGCAUGGAAUAAUAGAAUAGGACCUCGGCUCUAUUUUGUUGGUUUUCGGAACGCGAGGUAAUGAUUAAGAGGGACAGACGGGGGCAUUCGUAUUGCGACGUUAGAGGUGAAAUUCUUGGAUCGUCGCAAGACGGACGACUGCGAAAGCAUUUGCCAAGAAUGUUUUCAUUAAUCAAGAACGAAAGUUAGAGGUUCGAAGGCGAUCAGAUACCGCCCUAGUUCUAACCGUAAACGAUGCCAACUAGCGAUUCGCAGGCGUUAAACAACGACCUUGCGGGCAGCUUCCCGGAAACGAAAGUGUUCGGGUUCCGGGGGAAGUAUGGUUGCAAAGCUGAAACUUAAAGGAAUUGACGGAAGGGCACCACCAGGAGUGGAGCCUGCGGCUUAAUUUGACCCAACACGGGAAAACUCACCCGGCCCGGACACCGUAAGGAUUGACAGAUUGAGAGCUCUUUCUUGAUUCGGUGGGUGGUGGUGCAUGGCCGUUCUUAGUUGGUGGAGCGAUUUGUCUGGUUUAUUCCGAUAACGAACGAGACUCUGGCCUACUAAAUAGUGGGCGGAUUCUUUCUGUCCGCAACACUUCUUAGAGGGACAAGCGGUGUUCAGCCGCACGAGAUUGAGCAAUAACAGGUCUGUGAUGCCCUUAGAUGUCCGGGGCUGCACGCGCGCUACACUGAAGGAAUCAGCGUGCUUUCUGACCUUGCCCGAAAGGGCUGGGUAACCCGAUGAAAAUCCUUCGUGAUUGGGAUAGGGACUUGCAAUUAUUUCCCUUGAACGAGGAAUUCCCAGUAAGUGUGGGUCAUAAGCUCGCGUUGAUUACGUCCCUGCCCUUUGUACACACCGCCCGUCGCUGCCCGGAACUGAGCCGUUUCGAGAAGAACAGGGACCGUCGUUGAAGGGCCUUAACGGGCUUUUCUCUGACAGAAACUGUUUUA